UAUUUUCUUAACUCAAAUCAG
Molecule: non-coding RNA, 21 nt
Filed under: Caenorhabditis elegans
Lineage: Eukaryota; Metazoa; Nematoda; Chromadorea; Rhabditida; Rhabditidae
Source: RNAcentral